RNAcentral lists this unclassified non-coding RNA (207 nucleotides) under Hevea brasiliensis (rubber tree). The record is from RNAcentral. Lineage: Eukaryota; Viridiplantae; Streptophyta; Magnoliopsida; Malpighiales; Euphorbiaceae.
AUGCGAAUACACUGGCAAAUACAUUGCUGGUGGAGCUGGUGCUUGUAACCGUGGCUGUCAAGCAUGUAGUUGCUGGUGUUGCCGCCGAAAGUCCAACUGGAUUUUCUGCUAAUUCUGAGCUUUGAACCGACAGACCCGGAGAUACCACAGUAGUGGAUGGAGUAAGAGGUGGAGGCGGUGGUGAAGCAACCACGCUCUUCACAUUCG